UCCUACGGGAGGCAGCAGUGGGGAAUAUUGGACAAUGGGCGAAAGCCUGAUCCAGCCAUGCCGCGUGUGUGAAGAAGGUCUUCGGAUUGUAAAGCACUUUAAGUUGGGAGGAAGGGCAGUAAGCUAAUACCUUGCUGUUUGACGUACCGACAGA
Molecule: ribosomal RNA, 154 nt
Filed under: Pseudomonas sp. NB272
Lineage: Bacteria; Pseudomonadati; Pseudomonadota; Gammaproteobacteria; Pseudomonadales; Pseudomonadaceae
Description: partial 16S ribosomal RNA
Rfam family: Bacterial small subunit ribosomal RNA
Source: RNAcentral